This 3354-nucleotide long non-coding RNA is filed under the name Diabrotica virgifera virgifera (western corn rootworm). Its description in RNAcentral is "uncharacterized LOC114332858". The record is from RNAcentral. Lineage: Eukaryota; Metazoa; Arthropoda; Insecta; Coleoptera; Chrysomelidae.
GUCAAUAGUCAAUAUUGCUUCACUAUUUGAAUGGGACAUGGCCAUUCCAUCCGUAUUGAAUUGACAGUUCAUUGGAUGGAACAGAAUUUUUUAGAUGAUUUUGGUAUAAUAAUUCCAAAACAAAAAUUUGAUUACUAAAGCAUAUUGGACAAUUUUUUUAAAGGAACCAAUUGACUUUAAACAUGGGUAUAAUGGUAAAAUCAGGUCAGAAGCGAUCAUGGGCCCCAUUUUUUUUCUUCUGUGAUGACUGUGGGAAGGGAACCCAUUUGCCAAACUACAAAUGGUCAUGGUCCCCCAUUGACUUGUCCAGUCCAGUUGAAAAGUGCUGCAGAACUGACAAAUUUGUUUGUGGUUUAUCCAUUUAAAAAGAUUGGAUCAGAAUAACCCCAGAUCUAUAAUGCCUGUACCUACAAGGAAUUUCCAAACAGUAAUUAUUUAUUAAAAAAAAUUAAUAACCUAGGUAACAGACAAAAUUAAAGAUUACAUUAACUCCACAAACUGCUCCAGAACCCCUAACUUUUGAAAAAGCAUAGAAAACGAUACAGUUUGAGAUAAUGCCCAAGGAAGACUUUCUGGAAGAUGAAAUACUGGUUAGAUAUAGUAUUUUUACUACAAAAACGUUAUUACGUAGGUCAAAAUUUUUGACGUAAGAGAACUGUCAAAACAUUAGAAUGUGACUUUUCAUUAUUGCUAUGUUUAUUAUAAACACGGCAAUAAUGAAAAGUCACAUUCUAAUGUUUUGACAGUUCUCUUACGUCAAAAAUUUUGACCUACGUAAUAACGUUUUUGUAGUAAAAAUACUAUAUUAAGAACACCUUAUAACAAUGGACAACGACAGAACACCUAGUAGAACGUUUAGCAGAGCUAUGGUGGGAUGUAGGCCAGUAGGAAGACCAUGGAAGGGGUGGAUGGAUGAAGUGGGAACUCAUGCUAAAGAAGCAUUGAUGGUGGACAACUGGAGGAGAGCAGCCAGGGACCAAGAUACUUUGAGGCAGAUGCUGGGGGAGACCUGAAUCCAAUUUGUUAUAAACCAAAUAUUUACUUUCAAUUAACCCUCUAGUGCCCUACUCCACCUCAAGGUGGACCUAUACAGCUAUACCUAUACAGCUCAAACCCAAAUCUAGAUUAGAUUGGAUAAGCAUCCAGCCGUUAAAAGUUUGGCCAAUCAGACAAAUUUUUACUCUGUAAUUAUCAGUUUAGUGUGAAAUUUGGUAGCGAUACUAAAAAAAUUUGGGCAUUAGAGGGUUAACACAAAUCAUUCAAUUAUAUCUAUUUAUUUGCCUGCCUCUUUGUAUUUGUACUUUGUUUUUAUAGUGGUAACCCAAAACUUAAUCACGAUAAUAUUUGCAAAUGCUUAAUACCACAAUUAUCAAUACAGUGACGAGUGUGCUAAUAACUGGCAAAAUAACACAAAAGACAUAAAACACAAUACGUUGUGAAGUAAAAAGCAACGAAAAUGUAGAGGUGGGAAAUUAUCAAUAAAACAUAUAAAUUUACAUCAUAUUGAUAGUUUUCCACCUUAAGAUGCAUCGGAGGAGUUUCGCUACUGCCACUGUGACAGGAGAUUUUUUUUAAAUUCUCCAGCCUAACUCCAAUACAUCUAAAGGUGGGAAACUAUCAAUAAUUGUAAUUUUAUAGGGUUCUAUUGAUCAUUUUCCAUCUUUUUUGUUGUUUUGCUAGUUAUUAGCGGACUCGUCUUUGUAGUCAGUUCUUCUUCUUCUUCUCCUUCGUGCGACUAGAAUUAUUCCUGUUUGUCUGCGCCUUAUUUUGUUUUAGUUGUUGUUGACUGUAUAUUGUCUUUCCACGUUUUUGACAGCCUUCCAAAGGGUCUUUUGCUAUAACGGCUUGUUGUUUUUACAGAUGUUUGCCAAUCUAUCUGGUUCCAUUUGGUUUACAUAUGUUCGUUCCUGUUUUUUUCUUGUUUUUAUCCACCUGUUAAUAUUUUUGAAUUUGGAAUUGUUCGCAUAUACUUCUGUUGCUUUGCCUGUCUCUUAACGAUAUGCUCGUUAUUGAUUUUAAUACUUUCAUUUCGAUAUUGUUGAUUUGUUGUUUUAUCGGUUCUUGUCUAUGCUGCAUAUGUUAAGAUUGGUCUUACUGUUGUCUUGUAUACUUUUAUUUUGCUUUCUAUGGUCAGAUAUUUGUUUCUCCAUAUGGUUUCUCGUAGGCAACCACUUACUCUUGCUGCUUUUGCUGCUUGCCUUGUGGUCUCUGUUCUUAUAUCCCUGUCACUAGUGAUCUCUACUCCUAGGUAAUUGAAUUUCAUUACUUGUUCUACAAUUUUACCGUAUAUUUCCUGCACAGCUCUUUACUGAUCCCUAUAGGUACAUUUAGUUUUUGCCACUGAUAUUUUCAUAUUGUUUUUUUUGCUGUAUUAUUGAAGUUAUUGAGCUGCCGUUGUAGGUCAUCCUCGUUAUCAGUAAUUAGUACUGCAUCAUGUGCAUAGCAUAAUAUCGUGAUUUUAUGCGCUCCCAUGUGGUGUCUAUGUCGUUUUCUUACUUCGUGUAUUAUUUGAUUCAUCACCAUAUUGAAUAACAAUGGUCUGAGCGAGUCUCCUUGGCGGAUUCCUCCUUUUAGUUCUAUGCAUUCUGUUUAUCCUGUUGACAUUAUAACUCUGGUCUUGUUGUUCUUGUUGUUUAAUUAAUUAUCCUUAUUAUCUGAUGGUCUAUUUGUUCAGCUUGUAAUAAAUUUAAGAUGUCAUUUCGCCUCACCCUGUCACAAACACUUUUUAGAUCUACAAAGCACAUGUAUGCUGGUUUUCCAUAUUCAAUAGACUUUUCUAUUAUUUGUCUGAUAAUAAAAAUUGCAUCUGUUGUGCUAUGUAGUCAGUUCAAAAUUUAUUAUUAUUUCAAAAAACUAUCUUAAUUUGAAUGAUAAACAUGUUCCUUUGUACCUUUUUGAAUGUUUACUCAUUAAUAUUGUAUAAAUCCCAAAUUUUCUAGAGUUUCUUGGACCGGCAUUACUAUGCAUGUCCUAGAAAUCUUUGUGCUGCUGAAAGACCUUAUGUUGCAUUAUUUUAAAAUUGUUCUAUCUUAAAAAUGUAAAUUUAACAAUUCUUCUGUUUUGUUUUAGGUUAUGUAGCAAGUAGGUACUUAAGUGGUCACUAAUGAUGAUCUGAUAGGACCGAAAACUUUUUGAACAAUAGUAAUCCGUUUGGAUUUGUUAUUUUUGAUUUUUUUAACAAAUGUAGGUAUCAAUUAAUUUGGAUUUUUUUUUACUUCCUUGUAAAAGUUUUUUAAACAUAGUUUCUUUUAUCCUUGUAAAAGUUUUUUAAACAUAGUUUCUUUUAUUCGAAACCUUCAGGUAUUAAAUUAAUGGAACCAUACUACUUUUAAAUAAAAACUCGUUUUAUGUUAA